UUACAGAAGGGAAGGAGUAGUUCUAAAUGCUGGGAUCUGGAAAAGUACUUUGGAAUUGGUGCCAUCUGAGGUGAAGCUGGAAGGAAGGAAAUCAUUGGGACAAGUGGAAAAUCCAUUGGAAUACACAUAUAUAUAGUAAACAGAACAAGCUCCUUUUCAAAAAGCAGUCCCUCAGUGAGCUCAUCUGCUCUCAGGAAUUCAUCCAUUGCUGCUGUGCGGAUGCUUCAAAGUCUAACCACAUGAACCAUCAGUUACCAGCCAUCUACUACCUGAUGAAAGGGAGCAAAAGCGAACACAGGGUGAUUGCUCUUAUGUGUGUCUUCAGAACAAUAAGUUCAAAGAUAAAAAUUUUAUCUUUCUGACCAACAAGAUGGGCUGAACAUCCCAAAGCCUCAUUCUGUCAGUAGAGACAAGAUUUAAAUGGAGGUAACACCCACUAAAGAGCCAUAUACUGAAAAUGGACA
Molecule: long non-coding RNA, 464 nt
Organism: Homo sapiens (human)
Lineage: Eukaryota; Metazoa; Chordata; Mammalia; Primates; Hominidae
Gene: SYNPO2-AS1
Product: SYNPO2 antisense RNA 1
Exons: 3
Source: RefSeq, a predicted model, not a curated record